AGGUAAACUUCAAGCGGUAUUCAUAUACACCGCUCAUCACUUGAAGCCUUCAUUCAGCCGGUGUUCAUCUACACCGGAGAAGACUUGACCGGUAUUCAUCAAGCGGUAUUCAUCUAUACCGGUCACCACUUGACCGGAUUAGGGUUCUAACUCAAUUCAGCAGUGUUAAGCAAGCAGCAGCAGGUUUGAGCAGUUAACAGUAGGUCUUGCUGUUGUGUAUGGAAAGAAGACAGCAACAAUCGGACAUAGACAGCAACCAUUAUUUGACAGUAGCUGUUCAUAAACUCAAGUGCAGACUGGAAUAGAAGCAGUUUGAACAGCACCUGGUUACUGUUUUUUUGAUAGCAACUACAACAGCAGUGUGCAAAACUACAACAGUCUUUGGGACUGUUUCUGGUUUGAAACAACAGAACUUCAAGCAAGAACAAAACAGCAAGUUUAACAGCAGCAGGUAGUGCAACAUGGACAGCAACUAUUCUGAAAUGCUUCACAUUGAGCAGAUCUGACUUUAUGAUUAGUCUUGGUCAGCUAGUUCAUUGGGUGUUGUUUUUGCUAGUCUGAUUUGGACAGGUUCAUUCACAGCAGCAAUUUUUUUUUGAAACAAGUUGUUGUUAACAACUGUUGGUGUGAAUUAGACAAGAAGCAACAGUCGUGUUGGUGUACAAUCUGCAAUCAACAACAAAGCAGAAGCAAGAACAAAACAGCAGCUAGCAUUUGUUUUACAUAUAGAAGCUUUUGUGACUGUUUUGUAUAGAAGAUUGAACUCAGCAGUUCUUGACAGCAGUUGACAGCACACUAUUUAAGAAGCUUUGAAACAGAAACUACAAAGUGCAUGGUCCGCAGAAUAUCCAGUUUAGAGCUGUGAGAAGUGGAUCCAUACUAGAAGCUUUCAAGUGGAUUUCUGGAUAAUCUUACGAGGGCAGAUAGUAUAUUGUUUUUGUGUAAUAUAUGUAUUGUAAAGUGGUGAUACUGUGUGAUUUGGACUUAGACUCAUUUUUUUUUUGACUUGGUUUAUUGUUUUUAGACUGUUUUUAGGUUCUUAGUUU
This is a long non-coding RNA of Cynara cardunculus var. scolymus (artichoke), 1046 nucleotides long. RefSeq lists it as uncharacterized. Lineage: Eukaryota; Viridiplantae; Streptophyta; Magnoliopsida; Asterales; Asteraceae. The record is from RefSeq and is a predicted model, not a curated record. The transcript is spliced from 3 exons.